AUGGUGUGGAGGGGAGGGGUGGAGUCUAGGAGCAAGGGAGGAGAGAGAGGGUGAGCUGAGUCUAGGUCUAGGCCUACCACGAGCAGCUGCGCCACCAGCAGCUGCGCCCCAGGUUCGACCCGUACCGCGACGGGCUGGUUCGGGGGCCCGACCACUACGGGAACUUCUACUUCUGCCUCAACCGAUGCCAAGUUUGUACGUGCGCUCGCAGUUUAUCCUUGGUGGGUCACCGUCGUGGCUGUCUCCUCCUCCUCGGGAGCUCCUCCUCCCCUACGACGGCCUCCUCCCUCCUCCCCUACGACGCCUCGCCCUCGCCCACCAUCCCGACGCCCGCGCGCUCCUGACGGCGGAGGCGGGUCCGCGAAGCGGCCGCGGCAGUCCCGGAGGCUCCAACACGGAACGCGUGUACGCUCGCCCCAGAACAAAACCUCUUAAACACGGUACCUUACAAGUCAAUUAUAAGUCAUGGGAGAACAUCUUUACGGCUUCCGUCCUGAAACACGUGAGCGACCCGUAGGUCUUCUCCUCCGACGUCUUCGUGUUUCCACGACAGUUGUGGUAUUCGAAGUUGUCAUCGCCCUCGAACGAGGACAGACGGAGCCUGCUACUAAAGAGAGACUUGAGGUUGUUACCGCGAGCGCCACGGUGGACUGUACAAGUCAGAGUAGUACGGACCGAUGAACUGUUCCUCUUCUUCCUCGUGCGGGUCCUCUUCUUCCUCGUUCGAUUCCUCUUUUUGUUGCUCGUCCUCUUCUCCCCUCGUUCGGGUUGAAUUUGAUAACAACAAAUACAACAAUGUGCGAACAACUAGGCACUCUGAGGUGCCGACGAGGCGUAGCAGGUGUGUAUCCUGUUCCCGCAGUACCGGUUGGUUCCGCGUACCACGAGCGUUUGCUGCUCGUCUCCAACAAACUGUAGCCGUGCCUCCUCCUCCUGCCCGUGCCUGCCUCCUGUCUCGUGGAGAGAAGAAGGUCCAAGAAGAGGAAUAGAAGUGAAUUACAUACACGGACACGACGUCGAGUGGGUACCAGAACAAACAGAACGUCCAAUCACUCGUCGAAGUCCUCCUCGAGUUCGUGCUGGUGGUUCUCCGUGGUGGCGUCGUUGUCCCGCUGACACCUUCCGUACAACAUAAAAACAGUCGGGUCAGGACUGAUACAGACAGGCACUCAGGCUGUAAACUAGCAACAACUUCCUCGAGGUACGACAUCUCGAACAUUGUAAUGAACCUCUCGAACAUUUCAUGACAUCUCGAAACGUAAACAUCUCGAACAUUUCGUAACAUAUACGAUCUCGAACAUAAUGCACAGUAAACAUCUCGAAAAUCACUUAGACCGAUAACAAUAAACUUAUUAAUACACACAAAAGACGAACGGAUAAAUUUAUGACCAAUAAAAGAAUGAUACUUUA
This 1410-nucleotide ribosomal RNA is filed under the name Triticum aestivum (bread wheat). Its description in RNAcentral is "partial small subunit ribosomal RNA". Lineage: Eukaryota; Viridiplantae; Streptophyta; Magnoliopsida; Poales; Poaceae. The record is from RNAcentral.